Non-coding RNA from Acanthosepion pharaonis, 109 nucleotides. The record is from the annotation of a GenBank genome assembly. NCBI's taxonomy places the organism in Eukaryota, Metazoa, Mollusca, Cephalopoda, Sepiida, Sepiidae.
UUAUGGCCAUAUCAGGUUGAAACACCGGUUCCCGUACGAUCACCGAAGUUGAGCAAAGUCGAGCUUGGUUAGUACCCAGAUGGGUGACUACUUGGGAAUACCAGGUGCU